RNAcentral lists this transfer RNA (92 nucleotides) under Candidatus Omnitrophota bacterium. RNAcentral's name for it is "tRNA-Ser". It matches the Rfam family "tRNA". From Rfam's summary of the family: Transfer RNA (tRNA) molecules are approximately 80 nucleotides in length. The record is from RNAcentral. Lineage: Bacteria; Pseudomonadati; Candidatus Omnitrophota.
GGAAGCGUGGCAGAGUCUGGUUUAUCGCGACGCCCUGCUAAGGCGCUGGGCCCUCAGGGGCCCCGGUGGUUCGAAUCCACCCGCUUCCGCCA